AAUUUAUGUAAGACUAAAAUGUGCUGAUUAGAAAAAUAGAAAGUAAUACCUUUCCAUUAUAUUACAAAACAUUUCAAUUGACUAAAUCAACUUUCUAAAAUUAAUAUUGUAGCAAAUAUUUUGAGAUGUAUUAUUAUUCAUUGUGUAUGAAAUUAUUGCCAAAUAUCAUGAGACAUAAUUGAAUAUUCUAACUAUUCUACAACCUCACUUCAUUCAAGAUAUUUUCUGCUUUCCAGAACUCCCACCAUGAUAGUUGAUGAAUGUAAAUAAGUCAAUACACGGAUUACAUAGAUGAAUCAAAUACAUUUUAACCAAAAAACUGAAAGUCAAUUCCUAAAUGCCCAGUAAUUAUUUUCCAUACAUUCAGUAUCAGCAACACAUCAGAUACCAUUAAAGUUUACAGUUUCAAUUGGGGGUGCACUCACAAAAUAAAGAUAAAUCAGUGUCUUUAAACCCCAAAAUCAUUUGGAUGCCUGUGAGAAAGAUGCCUCAUUUUCAUUCUUAGUAAGUCAUGAUUAUAGGGAGUAGAACCAAGAACCAUCACAAUCAGUGAUUCUAUUACUUUAUUUUUCUUUGUUUCGAUGAUACCAAGUUAUGGACUUGUUCAUGGUGACUUUCUAAUCCAAUCAUGAAUGAAAAUAACCUGGAGACCGAGAGCACCCUCUGGUUUAAGCCUUUAAGCCCAUCUCAAUGUUUGUUCUCCACUAUCCUUCUCUGGAUUGUAAAGUCUAUGGGGCUAAUGACACCAGGCAUCCAGCUCACUUUCGCGUGUCCAGAGCCUACCAUUUUGAUGGAAAUAUGAAAAUUCCUCAAAGAAAUGAAGACUUCAGCAAUCCAAGACAGGUCUAACUCAAAAAACAACACAAAAACAGUGGACAGGAUUGGGUCUACAAGGCUGCUGGAAUCAAGGUUUGUGAGCCUACAGUAUAUUAUAUCAGUGAGACUUUAACAGCAUACAAAAUGAAAAAUAUUCUGUCAAAACAAGGACUCUUAACUAGAACCAUGCUCAUUUCAUAAAACUUGGGACAUAGAAGGGUUAAAAUAUGUUACUUCUCUCUGAAUCCAUCCUCUGCUUAAACAUCUACUUCCAGGAGGCAAGAGAAGAAAUAUAAGAGUAAUAGCCAAGGCCUCUACCAAUGUAUUCUAAAUAACCAUAAUGUAAGGAGUUUCAACUGACCAGUGCACAGUCUAGAUGUGGGCUUAAAACUCCAAGUGUCAACAAUUGAAAAUUUUAGAAAAAUACUAUGAUAAUAGGUUGAAGAAAAAAGUUGACUAUUAAUAAUCAAACAACAGCAACUUCCUCAAAUCAAAUCUGGAUUAAAAGCCAACAAUUAAAUCUAUACCAAUUUCUCUUGAUGAACAUCUGACAGAGGACAAAGAUUACCUACUAGUGAGCAAUAAUUAGAAAGUCAUCUCACAAAAAAUAAUAUAUGACAGAAAACAAAAAAGGAUACUUUCAAAGAUUUAGGGAAAAUUACUUCCACUAGAGUUUGGUUUAGCAAUGAAGAUGCCAGUUGAGAUAUAUGCACUCCAUAUCAGAGUGUCUACGUUCAAUUACCACAUGUUCUCCCUGAUCUGUGGUAACUAAUAGAACACAUAAAAGGAAUCUACAGAAGUGA
Oryctolagus cuniculus (rabbit) is the source of this 1619-nucleotide long non-coding RNA. Lineage: Eukaryota; Metazoa; Chordata; Mammalia; Lagomorpha; Leporidae. The record is from Ensembl.